RNAcentral lists this ribosomal RNA (497 nucleotides) under uncultured bacterium. RNAcentral's name for it is "partial 16S ribosomal RNA". It matches the Rfam family "Bacterial small subunit ribosomal RNA", at positions 28 to 507 of the family's 1533-position model. The record is from RNAcentral.
GACGAACGCUGGCGGCGUGCCUAAUACAUGCAAGUAGAACGCUGAAGAGAGGAGCUUGCUCUUCUUGGAUGAGUUGCGAACGGGUGAGUAACGCGUAGGUAACCUGCCUUGUAGCGGGGGAUAACUAUUGGAAACGAUAGCUAAUACCGCAUAACAAUGGAUGACACAUGUCAUUUAUUUGAAAGGGGCAAUUGCUCCACUACAAGAUGGACCUGCGUUGUAUUAGCUAGUAGGUGAGGUAAUGGCUCACCUAGGCGACGAUACAUAGCCGACCUGAGAGGGUGAUCGGCCACACUGGGACCGAGACACGGCCCAGACUCCUACGGGAGGCAGCAGUAGGGAAUCUUCGGCAAUGGGGGCAACCCUGACCGAGCAACGCCGCGUGAGUGAAGAAGGGUUUCGGAUCGUAAAGCUCUGUUGUAAGUCAAGAACGGGUGUGAGAGUGGAAAGUUCACACUGUGACGGUAGCUUACCAGAAAGGGACGGCUAACUACGUG